RNAcentral lists this ribosomal RNA (253 nucleotides) under uncultured bacterium. RNAcentral's name for it is "partial 16S ribosomal RNA". It matches the Rfam family "Bacterial small subunit ribosomal RNA", at positions 524 to 776 of the family's 1533-position model. The record is from RNAcentral.
UACGGAGGGUGCGAGCGUUGUUCGGAAUCACUGGGCGUAAAGCGCGUGUAGGCGGCUUCUUAAGUCCGAUGUGAAAGCCCGGGGCUCACCCCCGGAAGUGCAUUGGAUACUGGGAAGCUGGAGUACCGGAGAGGAGGGUGGAAUUCCUGGUGUAGCGGUGAAAUGCGUAGAUAUCAGGAGGAACACCUGUGGCGAAGGCGGCCCUCUGGACGGAUACUGACGCUGAGGAGUGAAAGCGUGGGGAGCGAACAGG